AAGACUAUACUUUCAGGGAUCAUUUCUAUAGUGCUGUACUUGAGAAAUGUGUGUCUAAAGUGGUAGAUCUCGCUAUCCAUGAUGAUGAUGAUUAAAGAUAUUCCCGUUCAGAGCAUGAAUCUGGUGGUUAGAAGUGACUUUGCUCAUUUUUCUUCCACCUUUGAUGACUGUUCCUUGUUCUUCAAUGAACGUGGAUGAAGGGAAUAUGUUCUGAGUGGA
Small nucleolar RNA from Oncorhynchus tshawytscha (Chinook salmon), 219 nucleotides. Its record names the gene U3. It matches the Rfam family "Small nucleolar RNA U3". Rfam says of the family: Small nucleolar RNAs (snoRNAs) are involved in the processing and modification of rRNA in the nucleolus. There are two main classes of snoRNAs: the box C/D class, and the box H/ACA class. Lineage: Eukaryota; Metazoa; Chordata; Actinopteri; Salmoniformes; Salmonidae. The record is from Ensembl.